CCUACUGGCGGCAGCAGUGAGGAAUAUUGGUCAAUGGGCGCGAGCCUGAACCAGCCAAGUAGCGUGAAGGAUGACUGCCCUACGGGUUGUAAACUUCUUUUAUAAAGGAAUAAAGUGAGGCACGUGUGCCUUUUUGUAUGUACUUUAUGAAUAAGGAUCGGCUAAGUCCGUGCCAGCAGCCGCGGUAAUACGGAGGAUCCUAGCGUUAUCCGGAUUUAUUGGGUUUAAAGGGAGCGUAGGUGGAUUGUUAAGUCAGUUGUGAAAGUUUGCGGCUCAACCGUAGAAUUGCAGUUGAAACUGGCAGUCUUGAGUACAGUAGAGGUGGGCGGAAUUCGUGGUGUAGCGGUGAAAUGCUUAGAUAUCACGAAGAACUCCGAUUGCGAAGGCAGCUCACUGGACUGCAACUGACACUGAGGCUCGAAAGUGUGGGUAUCAAACAGGAUUAGAUACCCGUGUAGUC
This 460-nucleotide ribosomal RNA is filed under the name uncultured bacterium. Its description in RNAcentral is "partial 16S ribosomal RNA". It matches the Rfam family "Bacterial small subunit ribosomal RNA", at positions 338 to 795 of the family's 1533-position model. The record is from RNAcentral.